RNAcentral lists this ribosomal RNA (253 nucleotides) under uncultured bacterium. Its description in RNAcentral is "partial 16S ribosomal RNA". It matches the Rfam family "Bacterial small subunit ribosomal RNA", at positions 524 to 776 of the family's 1533-position model. The record is from RNAcentral.
UACGGGGGGAGCAAGCGUUGUUCGGAUUUACUGGGCGUAAAGGGCGCGUAGGCGGCGUGACAAGUCACUUGUGAAAUCUCCGGGCUUAACUCGGAACGGUCAAGUGAUACUGUCGUGCUAGAGUACAGAAGGGGCAACUGGAAUUCUCGGUGUAGCGGUGAAAUGCGUAGAUAUCGAGAGGAACACCUGCGGCGAAGGCGGGUUGCUGGGCUGAUACUGACGCUGAGGCGCGAAAGCAUGGGUAGCAAACAGG